Cordylochernes scorpioides is the source of this 98-nucleotide non-coding RNA. NCBI's taxonomy places the organism in Eukaryota, Metazoa, Arthropoda, Arachnida, Pseudoscorpiones, Chernetidae. The record is from the annotation of a GenBank genome assembly.
AGGGCCACGCCACAUUCAAAACACCGGUUCUCCUCCAAUCACUGAAGUUAAGCAAUGUUGGGAGGGUGACCACCUGGGAACACCGGGUGCUGUAGGCU